CGGGGCUUAGGCUCCGGCGCAAAGAGAGGCCCAAGUGAGAUUAGCUAGUUGGUAAGGUAACGGCUUACCAAGGCGACGAUCUCUAGCUGUUCUGAGAGGAAGAUCAGCCACACUGGGACUGAGACACGGCCCAGACUCCUACGGGAGGCAGCAGUGGGGAAUAUUGCACAAUGGGGGAAACCCUGAUGCAGCCAUGCCGCGUGUGUGAAGAAGGCCUUCGGGUUGUAAAGCACUUUCAGUUGUGAGGAAAAGUUAGUAGUUAAUACCUGCUAGCCGUGACGUUAACAACAGAAGAAGCACCGGCUAACUCCGUGCCAGCAGCCGCGGUAAUACGGAGGGUGCGAGCGUUAAUCGGAAUUACUGGGCGUAAAGCGCACGCAGGCGGUUUGUUAAGCUAGAUGUGAAAGCCCCGGGCUCAACCUGGGAUGGUCAUUUAGAACUGGCAGACUAGAGUCUUGGAGAGGGGAGUGGAAUUCCAGGUGUAGCGGUGAAAUGCGUAGAUAUCUGGAGGAACAUCAGUGGCGAAGGCGACUCCCUGGCCAAAGACUGACGCUCAUGUGCGAAAGUGUGGGUAGCGAACAGGAUUAGAUACCCUGGUAGUCCACACCGUAAACGCUGUCUACUAGCUGUGUGUGCCUUUAAGGCGUGCGUAGCGAAGCUAACGCGCUAAGUAGACCGCCUGGGGAGUACG
RNAcentral lists this ribosomal RNA (691 nucleotides) under Alteromonas sp. MED614. RNAcentral describes it as "bacterial SSU rRNA". It matches the Rfam family "Bacterial small subunit ribosomal RNA", at positions 202 to 884 of the family's 1533-position model. Lineage: Bacteria; Pseudomonadati; Pseudomonadota; Gammaproteobacteria; Alteromonadales; Alteromonadaceae. The record is from RNAcentral.